Molecule: unclassified non-coding RNA, 246 nt
Filed under: Exophiala sp.
Lineage: Eukaryota; Fungi; Ascomycota; Eurotiomycetes; Chaetothyriales; Herpotrichiellaceae
Description: partial contains 5.8S ribosomal RNA, internal transcribed spacer 2, and large subunit ribosomal RNA
Source: RNAcentral
CGCACAUUGCGCCCUUUGGCAUUCCGAAGGGCAUGCCUGUUCGAGCGUCAUUAUCAACCCUCAAGCCUGGCUUGGUGUUGGGCAACGGUGGUCACUCACCCGCCCCAAAGGCAACGACGGCGUCCGCGAGACCCCCGGUACAACGAGCUUUUCACGAGGCACGUACUGUGGUGGGCUCGAGGACCCGGUCUUCCAUUUAUUUCUCAGGUUGACCUCGGAUCAGGUAGGGAUACCCGCUGAACUUAA